GUACCUUUUGCAUCAUGAUUUAGCUAGAAAACCUCAAGCAAAGAGCACUUUAGUUUGAUUCCCCGAAACUACGUGAGCUACUCCAAGACAGCCUAACAAUAGGGCAAACCCGUCUCUGUGGCAAAAGAGUGGGAAGAGCUUUGAGUAGAGGUGACAGACCUACCGAACCUAGUUAUAGCUGGUUGCCUGAGAAAUGAAUAGAAGUUCAGCCUCUCGGAUUCUUCCCUCACCCUUGUCUUCCUCCCCCCUGACAGCCAAAAGAAGCCGAAAGAGUUAGUCAAAGGGGGUACAGCCCCUUUGACACAAGAUACAACUUUUCCAGGAGGGUAAAGAUCACAUUCAAAUAUUAAGGUAAAAUGUUUUGGUGGGCCUAAAAGCAGCCACCCCCAUAGAAUGCGUUAAAGCUCAGACAUACCUAUCACCCCCGAUCCUGACAAUUUCAUCUUAACCCCCUAACCCUACCAGGCCGUCCCAUGCAAGCAUGGGAGCGACCAUGCUAAUAUGAGUAAUAAGAGAGCAUUAGCCUCUCUCCUUGCACAAG
Molecule: ribosomal RNA, 541 nt
Filed under: Argyrosomus japonicus (mulloway)
Lineage: Eukaryota; Metazoa; Chordata; Actinopteri; Sciaenidae
Description: partial 16S ribosomal RNA
Rfam family: Bacterial large subunit ribosomal RNA
Source: RNAcentral